GUCCACGGCCAUGCCACCUUAGACGUACCCAAUCUCAUCUGAUCUCGGAAGCUAAGCAGGGUCGGGCCUGGUUAGUACUUGGAUGGGAGAAUGUGUCCGAGCUAAGUCCUGGAAAGCGCAGGGU
This 124-nucleotide ribosomal RNA is filed under the name Octodon degus (degu). The record is from RNAcentral. Lineage: Eukaryota; Metazoa; Chordata; Mammalia; Rodentia; Octodontidae.